AAGUCGUAACAAGGUUUCCGUAGGUGAACCUGCGGAAGGAUCAUUAUCGUACAAUGGAGGUGCUGGGGUUGUCGCUGACUUUUGAAAGGGUCGUGCACACCUCAGUGCUUUCGCACAUAAUCCAUGUCACCCCUUUUGUGCAUUACCGCGCGGGGACCCCUUUUAGCUAGUUCUGAGGGGGGUCUUCACGUUUUUACAAAUUUUAACGCAAUGUGUAGAAUGUCUUACUUUUUGCGAUCACACGCAAUCAAUACAACUUUCAACAACGGAUCUCUUGGCUCUC
This 283-nucleotide unclassified non-coding RNA is filed under the name air metagenome. Its description in RNAcentral is "partial contains small subunit ribosomal RNA, internal transcribed spacer 1, and 5.8S ribosomal RNA". The stretch from base 1 to 46 matches the Rfam family "Eukaryotic small subunit ribosomal RNA", at positions 1786 to 1831 of the family's 1831-position model. The record is from RNAcentral.